This 393-nucleotide ribosomal RNA is filed under the name uncultured bacterium. RNAcentral's name for it is "partial 16S ribosomal RNA". It matches the Rfam family "Bacterial small subunit ribosomal RNA", at positions 523 to 918 of the family's 1533-position model. The record is from RNAcentral.
AUACGGAGGACGCGAGCGUUAUCCGGAUUCAUUGGGUUUAAAGGGUGCGCAGGCGGCCGUGCAAGUCAGCGGUGAAAGCCCGGGGCUCAACCCCGGAAGUGCCGUUGAUACUGCGUGGCUGGAAUGCGGUCGAGGCGGGCGGAACGGGGCGGGUAGCGGGGGGAUGCGUAGAUAUGCCACAGAACGCCGAUAGCGGAGGCAGCUCGCCAGGCCUGCAUUGACGCUCGGGCACGAAAGCGUGGGGAUCGAACAGGAUUAGAUACCCUGGUAGUCUACGCAGUAAACGAUGAUUACUGGCUGUUUGCGAUACAAUGUAAGCGGCUGAGCGAAAGCGUUAAGUAAUCCACCUGGGGAGUACGUUCGCAAGAAUGAAACUCAAAGGAAUUGGCGGGG